AUGAAUGUCGCACUCAUGCUGAGAUGGGUGUGGAGGAUCAUGUGAGGCGAUGGGGGCUUGUGGCUUCAGAUCAUCCAAGCAAAAUACCUAAGGGGAGAACCCCUGUUGGCAUGCUCCCGCUUUGGAGGAUGCCAGUUCUGGCGAUCCAUCCAAAGGAUCAAGGAGGACAUUCGUGCAAGAAUCUCCUUCUCUAUAGGUAAUGGGAAUGGGACCCAAUUCUGA
RNAcentral lists this ribosomal RNA (222 nucleotides) under Triticum aestivum (bread wheat). RNAcentral describes it as "partial small subunit ribosomal RNA". Lineage: Eukaryota; Viridiplantae; Streptophyta; Magnoliopsida; Poales; Poaceae. The record is from RNAcentral.